AUGUGUACUAUAGAAGUCAAGGGU
This 24-nucleotide microRNA is filed under the name Brachypodium distachyon (stiff brome). RNAcentral's name for it is "bdi-miR7771-3p". Lineage: Eukaryota; Viridiplantae; Streptophyta; Magnoliopsida; Poales; Poaceae. The record is from miRBase by way of RNAcentral.